UACGAAGGGUGCAAACGUUGCUCGGAAUCAUUGGGCGUAAAGCGCACGUAGGCGGCCUGUUAAGUCGGAUGUGAAAUCCCUCGGCUCAACCAUGGACGUGCAUUCGAAACUGCGAGGCUUGAGUAUGGAAGAGGGUCGCGGAAUUCCCGGUGUAGAGGUGAAAUUCGUAGAUAUCGGGAGGAACACCGGUGGCGAAGGCGGCGACCUGGGUCGACACUGACGCUGAGGCGCGAAAGCGUGGGGAGCAAACAGG
This 253-nucleotide ribosomal RNA is filed under the name uncultured bacterium. RNAcentral's name for it is "partial 16S ribosomal RNA". It matches the Rfam family "Bacterial small subunit ribosomal RNA", at positions 524 to 776 of the family's 1533-position model. The record is from RNAcentral.